CAGCCGCCGCGGUAAUACGAAGGGGGCUAGCGUUGCUCGGAAUGACUGGGCGUAAAGGGCGCGUAGGCGGUUUGCACAGUCGGGUGUGAAAUUCCUGGGCUUAACCUGGGGGCUGCAUUCGAGACGUGUAGGCUUGAGUGGGGAAGAGGGUCGUGGAAUUCCCAGUGUAGAGGUGAAAUUCGUAGAUAUUGGGGAGAACACCGGUGGCGAAGGCGGCGACCUGGACCCUUUCUGACGCUGAGACGCGAAAGCCAGGGGAGCGAACGGGAUUAGAUACCCCGGUAGUCCCUGUCUCUUAUAC
This 301-nucleotide ribosomal RNA is filed under the name uncultured bacterium. Its description in RNAcentral is "partial 16S ribosomal RNA". It matches the Rfam family "Bacterial small subunit ribosomal RNA", at positions 509 to 807 of the family's 1533-position model. The record is from RNAcentral.